UUUAAUACGUCUGAGUCCCUGCAAUAUUAAGAACAGCACUCGUAAACAAUGCAUUAACUCAUAAAAACGUUUUAAUUUGCGAUUAAAUAUAGAAAAUAACGGGAUACAAAAGGCUAGUGUCUUCCCAGCUACGUAUUACACGAAUUUAUAAAUGUACGUGUAACAUUUCGUGUAACAUGUCACGCUUUAUAUUUUUGUUUACUAAAUAAUGCCCUCUUUUUAAUUAUAAAAAAAAAUACAUACCUCAUGGGUAAAAUUAGGAGCCGCUCAUUUUAUAUUAAAUUACGGAAAACACAUAUGUCAGUCGACCAAGCGGGAAAACUGUAGUAUCCCAGAGGAUUUGGGUAUCCGUAGCUUCACUAACAGUGUUUCACACAGAGUCCCUGCUCUUGUUGAAGGCGUAAAUAUAUUGUAGCAAUUAUGGGGCAUUACUGGUUGUUACUGCCAAUUAAUUGCAUUUGUAACAGUUUACACUUGUUUAGAGUCUUGGUUCAUUUGUGUAUUUAGCUAUCCAACAGCUGGAUGCUGCUUCACGGCGUUUGUCGCUGUUCCUGUGUGGCACGUUGUUUAAACUGUGUUGGUUUGUAGUACAAAUAUGUAAAUAUAGCUGUCAGGGAUUAUGGGAGAUCAUCGCGCUUCUCAUGGAAGAAAGCGUGGGGCUUUGAUAAUUAGAUAUUUUAUGGGGGUUUGCUUGGUUGUUAGGACCCAGGAGUGCGAUACGGUUCCGACAGUAGAUUUGUAAUUUGUUUAUUAAUUACUGCCAUUGUUAAACGACAGCUGUGAAAUGUCAGCUCAACUGACAGAUGGAAUUGUUUCUACACGGGAUGACGAACAGGCGAGAGAGAAUCGGAGGAGCGCGGCCCAGACGCCAAACAGGCAGAGACCAACACCGAAACUACCAGGAGAUCUUACCGGAUAAUCAGCGGAAACAGAAACUUGUGUCAAGUAAGCAUAAUACGAUGAACUAUAAAUUCCCGCACAGGGUGUCCCCUGCUUUACGUCCUGUUCUUCUUGACAUUGGCGCCAGUCUCAGCACAACUCUGUACUCGACAGUCGGCUAUGGAAGAGGGAGGAAUUGCCCAAGGAAUUGUCCCACAUGACCGCAACACCGAAUUGGAAAAACAGUACAUCCAAAUUAAUGUUAAAAUUUUGUUUUAAAUAGAUGGGUUACAUAUUAAAUUAGCUGUUCGUUUUUUAAUUGGAGUGACCGCUUUAUUUGUCUGGUUGUCUUUACAGGAAAGAACUGGGAGGCUGGUUGUUUUCCUGUAACUGGGAAGUUUUGACAUUUCCAUUAUAGAAUCAUGAUUUUUCCAGUACUAUGAUUUUAAAGUCACUUAAUCCAGAUAAUACCAAAUGCACGCAAUAACUUUAUUAUGCAAAUUAUGUUCAUUAAUAUUAAAACUGGAAGUUCACUCAGUCAAACAAACCUAAGUCAUUAAAAUUAAAAGUGUGCUGUCAGUGGCUUGUGUCCCAUUCAAAUGACAACAGGUGGCACAUGGAGGAAGGGCAUGAAGAUGAGGUUGGGGGAAAAGGGAAGACACUUCAAAGAGCUCCCCCACCUGCGGGACAGGUGCCAUGCACCCAGGCACAGCCCCAGGUGGGAUUUGUCCACCCUUCCAGUUCACAGUUCUUGGUUCACGCUGACAACUGAUCUUCUUUCUGUGAAAAAUAAAUGAGUUUAAUAACUGUGA
This is a long non-coding RNA of Paramormyrops kingsleyae, 1691 nucleotides long. RefSeq lists it as uncharacterized. NCBI's taxonomy places the organism in Eukaryota, Metazoa, Chordata, Actinopteri, Osteoglossiformes, Mormyridae. The record is from RefSeq and is a predicted model, not a curated record.